Molecule: ribosomal RNA, 774 nt
Filed under: Dorylaimus aff. stagnalis 1 JS-2018
Lineage: Eukaryota; Metazoa; Nematoda; Enoplea; Dorylaimida; Dorylaimidae
Description: SSU rRNA
Rfam family: Eukaryotic small subunit ribosomal RNA
Source: RNAcentral
UUUACUAGAAUAUAGUUAUCCUACUUGGAUAACUGUGGCAAUUCUAGAGCUAAUACAUGCAAAAAAGCUCUGCCCGCAAGGAACGAGCGCAUUUAUUAGAAUAAAAACCAAUCGGGUUUCGGCCCGUAAUUUGGUGAAUCUGAAUAACUUUGCCAAUCGCACAGUCCUAGUACUGGCGAUGUAUCUUUCAAGUGUCUGCCUUAUCAACUUUCGAUGGUAGGUUAUACGCCUACCAUGGUAGUAACGGGUAACGGAGAAUAAGGGUUCGACUCCGGAGAGGGAGCCUGAGAAACGGCUACCACAUCCAAGGAAGGCAGCAGGCGCGCAAAUACCCACUUCCAGAACGGAGAGGUAGUGACGAAAAAUAACGAGACAGUCCUCUUCGAGGUCUGUCAUCGGAAUGGGUACAAUUUAAAUCCUUUAACGAGGAUCUAUUGGAGGGCAAGUCUGGUGCCAGCAGCCGCGGUAAUUCCAGCUCCAAUAGCGUAUAUUAAAGUUGUUGCGGUUAAAACGCUCGUAGUUGGAUCUGCGGCCUCGGAGAACGGUCCCCCGAAAGGGCGGUCACUGUCUCUCCUAGCCUAAAUUCAAGUCGUCUCUAGGUGCUCUUUACCGAGUGCUUAGAGUGACUAGAACGUUUACUUUGAAAAAAUUAGAGUGCUUAAAGCAGGCGAAAUAGCCUGAAUAAGGUGCAUGGAAUAAUGGAAUAGGACCUCGGUUCUAUUUUGUUGGUUUUCGGAACCUGAGGUAAUGAUUAAGAGGAACAGACGGGGGCAU